UAAGGCUGAUGUCAGGACUGGAGUACCUCUCCUGUGAAGAUUGGCUGAGAGAGUUGGGGCUGUUCAGCCUGGUGAACAGAAGGCUCCAGGGGCAUCUUAGAGCAGCCUUCCGG
Long non-coding RNA from Neopelma chrysocephalum (saffron-crested tyrant-manakin), 113 nucleotides. RefSeq lists it as uncharacterized. The record is from RefSeq and is a predicted model, not a curated record. Lineage: Eukaryota; Metazoa; Chordata; Aves; Passeriformes; Pipridae. The transcript is spliced from 3 exons.